Molecule: ribosomal RNA, 401 nt
Filed under: uncultured bacterium
Lineage: Bacteria
Description: bacterial SSU rRNA
Rfam family: Bacterial small subunit ribosomal RNA
Source: RNAcentral
CUACUCUUGACAUCCACGGAAUUCGCCAGAGAUGGCUUAGUGCCUUCGGGAACCGUGAGACAGGUGCUGCAUGGCUGUCGUCAGCUCGUGUUGUGAAAUGUUGGGUUAAGUCCCGCAACGAGCGCAACCCUUAUCCUUUGUUGCCAGCACGUAAUGGUGGGAACUCAAAGGAGACUGCCGGUGAUAAACCGGAGGAAGGUGGGGAUGACGUCAAGUCAUCAUGGCCCUUACGAGUAGGGCUACACACGUGCUACAAUGGCAUAUACAAAGAGAAGCGAACUCGCGAGAGCAAGCGGACCUCAUAAAGUAUGUCGUAGUCCGGAUUGGAGUCUGCAACUCGACUCCAUGAAGUCGGAAUCGCUAGUAAUCGUAGAUCAGAAUGCUACGGUGAAUACGUUCCC